GAACAUGAAGAUGUUGAUGAUGAUGGUGAUAAAGAUUAUCAACCUUUGAGUGAGAAAAGACUAUCUACAAAAGAAAAGAAGAUUGGAGGAGACUAUAGAAUAUAACAAGUUGAGUCUUCUUCAAAUAAAAGGAGAUAUCCUUUGAGAGAUAGAAAAAAAUAUGGAAAAUGGUAGAAGAAUCACAUCUUUCCUCAAAUAAGUGAAGAACAUGCCAAUGUUACACUUCUUGUUGAUCCGUUGUCGUAAUAUAUGAAGUCUUGCUUGAGAAUGCUCUGGACAUUUGGCUGUGGAAGGUAGAAUGGAAAUUGCAAGAACAAAAUCUUAAUUCUAAUAGAACACUAAUAAUGCUAAACAAGGUUUAAUGAAAUUCAAAGAAACCUCAAAGAAAUUCCAAAGAAACAGUAAGAAAACUUAAAGAAAUAUUAAAAUGAUUACAAAAAUAUCUCAAAUACAUCUUAAUUCAAUCUUAAUUUAAUCCUAGUUGAAAUCUUACUUCAUUCAAACUUUAGGCCAAAAACUAACUAAAUCUUAUAUCCUAAAUGAACUCAAAUAAAAUCCUAAAUCCUAAAUCAAAUCCUAAUCAAAUCCAAAAUCCUAAAUCAAAUCCUAACUAAAUCUUAAAUCCUAAUCCUAAAUCAAAUCCUAAAUAAAUCCUAAUUCUAAUCCUAAAUCCUAAACUAAACUCUAAUCAAAUCCUAAACCAAACUCUAACCAAAUCCUAAACAAAUCCUAAAUCAAAUCCUAAAUCCUAAAUCAAAUCCUAACUAAAACUUAAAUCAAAUCGUAAACCUUAAAUCAAAUCCUAACCAAAUCCUAAAUCCUAAACCAAAUCCUAAAGCAAAUCCUAAACAAAUCCUAAAUCAAAUUCCAAUCAAAUCCUAAAUCCCAAAUCAAACCCUAACCAAAUUCUAAAUCCUAAACCAAACCCUAACCAAAUCCUAAUA
This 944-nucleotide long non-coding RNA is filed under the name Physcomitrium patens. RNAcentral's name for it is "long non-coding RNA (PPAT_LNC000941)". Lineage: Eukaryota; Viridiplantae; Streptophyta; Bryopsida; Funariales; Funariaceae. The record is from RNAcentral.